AUUGAACGCUGGCGGCAGGCUUAACACAUGCAAGUCGAGCGGUAACAGAGAGAAGCUUGCUUCUCUGCUGACGAGCGGCGGACGGGUGAGUAAUGCCUAGGAAUCUGCCUAGUAGUGGGGGAUAACUUGCCGAAAGGUAAGCUAAUACCGCAUACGUCCUACGGGAGAAAGGAGGGGACCUUCGGGCCUUUCGCUAUUAGAUGAGCCUAGGUCGGAUUAGUUAGUUGGUGAGGUAAUUGCUCACCAAGACCGCGAUCCGUAACUGGUCUGAGAGGAUGAUCAGGCACACUGGAACUGAUACACGGUCCAGAAUCCUACGGGAGGCAGCAGUGGGGAAUAUUGGACAAUGGGGGGAACCCUGAUCCAGCCAUGCCGCGUGUGUGAAGAAGGUCUUAGGAUUGUAAAGCACUUUAAGUUGGGAGGAAGAGCAGUUAACUAAUAUUUGACUGUUUUGACGUUACCGACAGAAUAAGCACCGGCUAACUUCGUGCCAGCCGCCGCAGUAA
This 506-nucleotide ribosomal RNA is filed under the name uncultured bacterium. RNAcentral describes it as "partial 16S ribosomal RNA". It matches the Rfam family "Bacterial small subunit ribosomal RNA", at positions 30 to 523 of the family's 1533-position model. The record is from RNAcentral.